CCUGCCCCUAAGGCUUUGCGGGAGUGACAUCUGUGUUACACUGUUAUCAGUAGAUAGCAGAGAGGUGAGAGGCUAUGUCUUAGCUUAGUACUCUGACCUAUUAAGAACAUCUGAAUGAUUAGUACCUUUAUAAG
Rattus norvegicus (Norway rat) is the source of this 134-nucleotide small nucleolar RNA. Ensembl annotates it as small nucleolar RNA SNORA17. The record is from Ensembl. Lineage: Eukaryota; Metazoa; Chordata; Mammalia; Rodentia; Muridae.